GAUGAAGAACGCAGCGAAAUGCGAUAAGUAAUGUGAAUUGCAGAAUUCAGUGAAUCAUCGAAUCUUUGAACGCACAUUGCGCCCGCUAGUAUUCUGGCGGGCAUGCCUGUCCGAGCGUCAUUUCAACCCUCAAGCCCCCGGGCUUGGUGUUGGGGAUCGGCGAGCCUCCGCGCCCGCCGUCCCCUAAAUCUAGUGGCGGUCUCGCUGUAGCUUCCUCUGCGUAGUAGCACACCUCGCACUGGGAAACAGCGCUGCCACGCCGUUAAACCCCCAACUUCUGAACGUUUGACCUCGGAUCAGGUAGGAAUACCCGCUGAACUUAAGCAUAUCAAUAAGCGGAGGA
RNAcentral lists this unclassified non-coding RNA (343 nucleotides) under soil metagenome. Its description in RNAcentral is "partial contains 5.8S ribosomal RNA, internal transcribed spacer 2, and large subunit ribosomal RNA". The stretch from base 1 to 120 matches the Rfam family "5.8S ribosomal RNA", at positions 35 to 154 of the family's 154-position model. The record is from RNAcentral.